Molecule: long non-coding RNA, 1306 nt
Filed under: Marmota monax (woodchuck)
Lineage: Eukaryota; Metazoa; Chordata; Mammalia; Rodentia; Sciuridae
Source: RNAcentral
CUGAACCCCUCUCCCUCUGCUGUCUGGCCUCCUGCUGUGGGCAGCAGCUGACCAGGAUCCUGGGUGUGGCUCUCUACAACCUCUGAGCCCUGACCAAGGGAGCACUGUGUCCUGAGUCCCCUUGCCCUCUAUCACCUCUUUGGGUUCUGGGGUGGAUGUGUGUAGCCCUGGCCUUGUUGCAUGGAUGGGGGCUCCUGUGUCUCUAGAGAGUGGUGACAGAGAGAGACCCUGCCAGGGCCUCCUGACCCAGCCACGUCUGGCUCCAUCCUGGCUGCUGCUUCCUCCUGUCCACUGGGCACUAUCCAUUCUCCUGUUUCAUGGGGAGCCGCCAGUGGCUGGCAGAGGGGCAGAGACCUCAGUUGUGGGCUCACUGCAGAAGGAAGUGUCAAACCUGGUGACCUCCCAGGGAUGUUGGGGCAGACUCUGAGAGCUCCAGUCCAAUUGCCUGAACCCCUGCUGUGCUGGCUCAGGAAUAUGUCUCUGCAAGAUGGGGACCCAGGGCCCUGGGUGUGAGUUCUAGCUCUAGUUCUAGAGUUGCCCACACACUAUGGAGCUGGGCCUUCCUCCCACGUGGCUCCACAGGGUCCUGCCAGGGCCUGGGAGGACAGUUCCUUCUGCUCAGAACCUUGGAGCAGUGACCCUUCAAGCUGAAGCCUGUCUGCUCUGUCCUGAGGGUCACCUGCAGAUCCACCUGCCAAGUUCCUAGGCCCCCCGGCCUGUGCCCACCAGUGCCCCAGAUCUGGAGUCUCUCAAGCGAAUCGCUGUACUUGUGCCUGGUCCGCAGACAGAGUGCUCUCGCUGUCCCUGGGUGCCAGGUGUUGGAGCCAGAGGAGCCUGAGAGGGUCACCUGGGUGGAUGGAAGCUCCUGAGCAGAGAGCACCUUCUUCAGGCUGAAGCUCAGCGGCGCCCCCUGCCGGCCACGGGCACAACCCGCAGGGAUGAAUAAAGAUGGACUGGCAAGACCCAGAACGUUUCCCAGCCCAGAUUUGGGGUGGGGUCCCCAUAGGAGGGCAGAGGGGAAGACCCAGCUGGUCUUGGACUGAGGGUGGUCUGGCCGCUCGUGGGUGCGCACUCCUCAGGUCCCUGUAGGCAGCCGGCACUGCAAGGCCCAAAGUGAACUUGGAAGUGUCCUCCUCCGCGGGGCAGAGUGAGUAGCCAGCUAAGAAGACUUUCCCUGGAAGGGAACUUGUCCGGGGCUGUUCAUGCGGAGAACGGAAUGUGCUCCCGCCAGGAGCAGUGGCUGAUAGGCCGGCCCAAAGAAGGUCAGCAGGGUCCACUGGGCAUGGCGUGUUCUGGGGGUGCCUGG